Molecule: ribosomal RNA, 424 nt
Filed under: Corynebacterium casei
Lineage: Bacteria; Bacillati; Actinomycetota; Actinomycetes; Mycobacteriales; Corynebacteriaceae
Description: bacterial SSU rRNA
Rfam family: Bacterial small subunit ribosomal RNA
Source: RNAcentral
GAAUAUUGCACAAUGGGCGCAAGCCUGAUGCAGCGACGCCGCGUGGGGGAUGAAGGCCUUCGGGUUGUAAACUCCUUUCGCUAUCGACGAAGCCACUUGUGGUGACGGUAGGUAGAUAAGAAGCACCGGCUAACUACGUGCCAGCAGCCGCGGUAAUACGUAGGGUGCAAGCGUUGUCCGGAAUUACUGGGCGUAAAGAGCUCGUAGGUGGUUUGUCGCGUCGUCUGUGAAAUCCCGGGGCUUAACUUCGGGCGUGCAGGCGAUACGGGCAUAACUUGAGUGCUGUAGGGGAGACUGGAAUUCCUGGUGUAGCGGUGAAAUGCGCAGAUAUCAGGAGGAACACCGAUGGCGAAGGCAGGUCUCUGGGCAGUAACUGACGCUGAGGAGCGAAAGCAUGGGUAGCGAACAGGAUUAGAUCACGGGG